Molecule: ribosomal RNA, 264 nt
Filed under: uncultured bacterium
Lineage: Bacteria
Description: partial 16S ribosomal RNA
Rfam family: Bacterial small subunit ribosomal RNA
Source: RNAcentral
GUUCCCUACGGGGGGCAGCAGUGAGGAAUAUUGGUCAAUGGGAGAGAUCCUGAACCAGCCAAGCCGCGUGAGGGAAGACGGCCCUAUGGGUUGUAAACCUCUUUUGUCGGAGAAAAAAACCCGGGACGUGUCCCGGACUGCGUGUAUCCGAAGAAAAAGAAUCGGCUAACUCCGUGCCAGCAGCCGCGGUAAUACGGAGGAUGAGAGCGUUAUCCGGAUUUAUUGGGUUUAAAGGGUGAGUAGGCGGUCCGUUAAGUCAGCGGU